ACUCCUGUUAUCUUCCUCCAGGAUAAAAGCAUGCGGAGCAGCCUGAGGAGCGCUGUGGAGACUUGCACAUUCUCCUCCUGCAGGACCUCUAUACAGUAGACUGCGGACCUCCUGCCAGAGAAAAGACAAGGGACGGAGAAGGUGAAGGAAGAGAGGAAGGCAGAGCGAAAUCGAGCGCAGCUUCACUAUGUUGGGCAACAAAAAGAAAUUAGCUCCGGUGGUGAAGAACGGAGCCGGGACGUCCAAUUUAAAGGCUAUCGAUCCUCUCAGGAAUCUUGCUGGUCGGAGCAGAUGGCCGCCUACCAUGAGCCGCGUUCUGUUCAAGGUUUCUACCUGUUAAAAGGGAGUUUUUCCUUGCCACUGUCGCCAGAGUUCUUGCUCAUGGGGGAAUGUUGGGUCUCUGCAAAUAUAACUAUAACGAGUACGGUCUACACCUGCUCUAUAUGAAAAGUUCCCUGAGAUGACCUCUGUUACGAUUUGUGCUAUAUGAAUAAAAUUAAAUUGAAUUGAA
Molecule: long non-coding RNA, 511 nt
Organism: Xiphias gladius (swordfish)
Lineage: Eukaryota; Metazoa; Chordata; Actinopteri; Istiophoriformes; Xiphiidae
Exons: 2
Source: RefSeq, a predicted model, not a curated record